Molecule: ribosomal RNA, 2073 nt
Filed under: Triticum aestivum (bread wheat)
Lineage: Eukaryota; Viridiplantae; Streptophyta; Magnoliopsida; Poales; Poaceae
Description: partial small subunit ribosomal RNA
Source: RNAcentral
AUGAGGGAUGCUCAACAGGGGAAGAUCAAGUUCAACAGAGAGAACGACGCGCUGACAAAAGCCCUCGGGAAUCCUGAACACGGAGGACGUGUACGAGGCAUGGGGCACAUUCCGUGGAAAAUAGGGUUCCCCCAGAACGAUGACCCGUACGGUUACAGAAGCCGUAAGAGAAAGAUGGAUCGGGAAGCAGAUGUUGUGGCGCGGUUGGCAUCGGAAAUGGAUGUGAUGAAGAAAACCAUGAGUGUACUAGUAGCCGAAAGAGAUGCAGCUUGGGUGCAGCAUGAAGAUCAUCCAGCGGAUCUCGGAAGCCAGCAGCGGAGAAGCAGCGUGGCUUCCACGGAGGCCCCACCGGCUGGUGCAGAUGCACCGACGAUCGAAAUUACUGCACCGGAGCCUCUGGUGGUCCAAAUUACUGCACCGGAGCCUCUGGUGGUCGAAAUUACUUCACCGGAGCCUCCUCGCUACCCCGUGGACGAUAUAAAGGAGAUGAAAGAAUGUCAUCUGUAUUAUCCUAUCGGGAACAUGUCCAUGAAGGUAGCCAUCGGCAGUGCUUUACCAUGUUUACCUGGAGCACUCCACCACAACAACCCCAUUCAAGAUGGCUAUGCUCGUGUCACGGUGGAGGACAUAGUCCAAGGGUUUGAGGACCUGGAGAUUGACAUUGCUACACCUGAAGGGGAGAAAAGACUUGGAGAUGUCAAGCGCCAUUUCAUUCUAUGGCAAAAGAAGUUUAUCAAGUUUCCAGGCGAGGCGCCAAGGACAACAAGUCCACCCCCCUACGGUGGUGGUGGCGGCGGUGGCGGCGGUGGUGGUGGUGGUGGUGGUGGUGGUGGUGGCGGUUCACCUACACCUCCGUCACGUCAGCCGACGCCACCCCCCAGUCCACAACGUCCGACGGGUGAUCAGCCGCCGCCCCCCAGUCCUCGUUCGGCGGGUGAUCAGACGCCGCCCCCCAAUCCACCUCCGGCAAAGAAGCAGAAGCAGUCCUGGAUUAUUAACCCGGACCCUUAUGUACCUAAGACCACAAAGGUACCGGAGCCAUCACUGAAGCCUCUCCCCACAAGGCCUUGGGAACGUAGUGCCGAGGAAGUCGACGCGGCCGCGGCUGCUGAUUUGGAGAAAUGGAAGGCGGACUGCAAGAAGAAAAGAGAGCCCGAGCCCAAGCCAGUAUUUUCUGAUGAGCAAAAGAAGUGGGCUAAGUCAUUUUUGAGCACACCGUCCCAAGCCGCGAAGAAUCUGCCUAACGACUAUGCACGUGAACUUCGCAGGCAGGCACUCAUGUUCAAGGAGAACAAAGAGCGGGAGAAGGCCGAAAGUAAAAAAAGCGGGAAACAAGUUUCCCAGCUCGGGGAACAAAGUAAACAAUCGAUUGCCCCGCUUAUAGUGGAAGCCUUCUGUCCGGAUGCCCCCGAGAUCAUACAAGCUGCGGCAGCACAGGGAUUGACUGUAACGAGUGCCAGAGAACAAGCGGCCAACUUAGAUAUUACUCUUCGUGAACUGUUAGGCCUUGAUGAGGCGCCAGUGAAGGAGGUAGUAAUUACAUAUGUCAAGAAUGGGCCUCUCGUCGAGCCUGCGCAGGAAAAGGAUCUACCUCCACAAAUGAAAGGUCUGCUGAAAUGGUACAAGGGUUACAUAAAAAAUAAAAACGCCAAAGAAUAUAUUUAUGCGGAAGUUAGACAUGAGCAUCACUUCAAACAUUACUAUGUACAAAUUGAACUGAGUGAAUUGUUCCAGCUUUUCAAUCUGCGCGAGCUCGAUAAAUCUAUCAUCAGUUGCUACGUUCUAAUGAAGAUUAAGGAAUGCAGAGUAAGGAACAUCCAUGAUGUUGGGUUCAUUGACCCACACAUCGUGAAUGGACAUGUGUUGGAGCGUUACCCCGCCGACGUGGAGGCAGACCUGUGGCAGUUUCUUACAAAGCAGGAACUCAAAAGUGAUAUUCUAUUUCCUUACCAUUUUGAGUUCCACUGGAUUCUGCUAGUAAUUAAAGUUAACACCUCAGAAUGUCUCGUCCACGACUCUAUGAAUAUGGAUCCAAAGCUUUGGGGCGGCAUGAGAAGAAUGCUGCAGAAGUAA